CCCUUAGAUGUUCUGGGCCGCACGCGUGCUACACUGAUGCAUUCAACGAGUCUAAAACCUGGUCUGAUAGGGCUGGGUAAUCUUUUGAAAGUGCAUCGUGAUUGGGAUAGAUGAUUGCAAUUCUUCAUCUUCAACGAGGAAUGCCUAGUAAACGCAAGUCAUCAGCUUGCAUUGAUUACGUCCCUGCCCUUUGUACACACCGCCCGUCGCUCCUACCGAUUGAAUGAUCCGAUGAAUACCAUGGAUUGAGAGUACGAAUAGGUUCGCUUAUUUCUGCUUCCCGAGAAGUGGAGUAAAUCUUAUCAUUUAGAGGAAGGAGAAGUCGUAACA
RNAcentral lists this ribosomal RNA (330 nucleotides) under uncultured eukaryote. RNAcentral describes it as "partial 18S ribosomal RNA". It matches the Rfam family "Eukaryotic small subunit ribosomal RNA", at positions 1470 to 1796 of the family's 1831-position model. The record is from RNAcentral.